GCGGAGGAAAAGAAACCAACAGGGAUUGCCUCAGUAACGGCGAGUGAAGCGGCAAAAGCUCAAAUUUUAAAGCUGGCAUCUUCGGUGUCCGCGUUGUAAUUUUGUGAGGCAUCUCCGGGUAGGGCGCCGGCCUAAGUUCCUUGGAACAGGACGUCACAGAGGGUGAGAAUCCCGUGCUUGGCUGGCUGUCCCCGUCCAUGUGAGGUGUCUUCGACGAGUCGAGUUGUUUGGGAAUGCAGCUCAAAAUGGGUGGUAAAUUUCAUCUAAAGCUAAAUAUUGGUGGGAGACCGAUAGCGCACAAGUAGAGUGAUCGAAAGAUGAAAAGCACUUUGAAAAUAGAGUUAAAAAGUACGUGAAAUUGUUGAAAGGGAAGCGCUUGAGAUCAGACUUCGGUAGGGGGUGAUCAGCCGUCCUUCUGGGCGGUGCACUUGCCCCUCUCCGGGCCAGCAUCGGUUGAGGCGGCGGGAUAAAGGUCCCGGGAAUGUGGCUCCUUCGCGGGAGUGUUAUAGCCCGGGUGAAUGCCGCCAGUCUCGACCGAGGACCGCACCCGCAAGGGUUAGGAUGCUUGGCAUAAUGGUCUUCAGCGACCCGUCU
Molecule: ribosomal RNA, 594 nt
Filed under: Morchella importuna
Lineage: Eukaryota; Fungi; Ascomycota; Pezizomycetes; Pezizales; Morchellaceae
Description: eukaryotic LSU rRNA
Rfam family: Eukaryotic large subunit ribosomal RNA
Source: RNAcentral